This 205-nucleotide long non-coding RNA is filed under the name Elaeis guineensis (African oil palm). RNAcentral's name for it is "long non-coding RNA (EGUI_LNC031720)". The record is from RNAcentral. Lineage: Eukaryota; Viridiplantae; Streptophyta; Magnoliopsida; Arecales; Arecaceae.
CCCUUCUCUUGGUGAAACCCUAUUUCCUAGUCUAUAAAAAGGGUGGUCCUCCUCUUUGGCAUCAUGCUUCUCUUCUUUCUUGCUGGUGUUUUCAUUUUCAGAGCCUCUUCUCCUCUUCCACUCUUUCUCCUCCAGAUCUCUUCUUGCUUUGGAGUGUUUAAGUUGCUUGAAAAAGAAGAAGGAAGAGAUCAGUUGUCAAAGUUGC